Molecule: ribosomal RNA, 494 nt
Filed under: Halomonas sp. BW86-29
Lineage: Bacteria; Pseudomonadati; Pseudomonadota; Gammaproteobacteria; Oceanospirillales; Halomonadaceae
Description: bacterial SSU rRNA
Rfam family: Bacterial small subunit ribosomal RNA
Source: RNAcentral
UUAGAGUUUGAUCCAUGGCUCAGAUUGAACGCUGGCGGCAGGCCUAACACAUGCAAGUCGAGCGGUAACAGAUCCAGCUUGCUGGAUGCUGACGAGCGGCGGACGGGUGAGUAAUGCAUAGGAAUCUGCCCGAUAGUGGGGGAUAACCUGGGGAAACCCAGGCUAAUACCGCAUACGUCCUACGGGAGAAAGGGGGCUCCGGCUCCCGCUAUCGGAUGAGCCUAUGUCGGAUUAGCUGGUUGGUGAGGUAAAGGCUCACCAAGGCGACGAUCCGUAGCUGGUCUGAGAGGAUGAUCAGCCACAUCGGGACUGAGACACGGCCCGAACUCCUACGGGAGGCAGCAGUGGGGAAUAUUGGACAAUGGGGGCAACCCUGAUCCAGCCAUGCCGCGUGUGUGAAGAAGGCCCUCGGGUUGUAAAGCACUUUCAGUGAGGAAGAACGCCUGGUGGUUAAUACCCAUCAGGAAAGACAUCACUCACAGAAGAGCACCGCA